This 71-nucleotide transfer RNA is filed under the name Camelus bactrianus (Bactrian camel). It matches the Rfam family "tRNA". From Rfam's summary of the family: Transfer RNA (tRNA) molecules are approximately 80 nucleotides in length. Their secondary structure includes four short double-helical elements and three loops (D, anti-codon, and T loops). The record is from Rfam by way of RNAcentral. RNAcentral also lists the same sequence under 2 other names. Lineage: Eukaryota; Metazoa; Chordata; Mammalia; Artiodactyla; Camelidae.
GAGGAUAUAGCUCAGUGGUAGAGUGUGUGCUUAGCAUGCACGAGGUCCUGGGUUCAAUCCCCAGUACCUCU